AACGCGAAGAACCUUACCUGGGCUUGACAUGUAGGUGACCGCACUAGAAAUAGUGUUUUCCCGCAAGGGACAGUUACACAGGUGCUGCAUGGCUGUCGUCAGCUCGUGCCGUGAGGUGUUGGGUUAAGUCCCGCAACGAGCGCAACCCUUGUCGUUAGUUGCCAGCGCGUAAUGGCGGGCACUCUAACGAGACUGCCUAGGUUAACUAGGAGGAAGGUGAGGAUGACGUCAAGUCCGCAUGGCCUUUAUGCCCAGGGCUACACACGUGCUACAAUGGUCGGUACAGAAGGCAGCGAAACCGCGAGGUGGAGCAAAUCCUCAAAGCCGGCCCCAGUUCAGAUUGUAGUCUGCAACUCGACUACAUGAAGAUGGAAUUGCUAGUAAUGGCGAGUCAGCAACAUCGCCGUGAAUACGUUCCCGGGCCUUGUACACACCGAGACGAC
RNAcentral lists this ribosomal RNA (443 nucleotides) under uncultured bacterium. RNAcentral describes it as "bacterial SSU rRNA". It matches the Rfam family "Bacterial small subunit ribosomal RNA", at positions 958 to 1398 of the family's 1533-position model. The record is from RNAcentral.